Molecule: ribosomal RNA, 736 nt
Filed under: uncultured Actinomycetes bacterium
Lineage: Bacteria; Bacillati; Actinomycetota; Actinomycetes
Description: bacterial SSU rRNA
Rfam family: Bacterial small subunit ribosomal RNA
Source: RNAcentral
GACGAACGCUGGCGGCGUGCUUAACACAUGCAAGUCGAACGGAAAGGCUCCAGCUUGCUGGAGUACUCGAGUGGCGAACGGGUGAGUAACACGUGGGCAAUCUGCCCUGCACUCUGGGAUAAGCCUGGGAAACUGGGUCUAAUACUGGAUAGGACCUUUCUCCUCAUGGGGUUUGGUGGAAAGUUUUUCGGUGCAGGAUGAGCCCGCGGCCUAUCAGCUUGUUGGUGGGGUAAUGGCCUACCAAGGCGACGACGGGUAGCCGGCCUGAGAGGGUGAUCGGCCACAUUGGGACUGAGAUACGGCCCAGACUCCUACGGGAGGCAGCAGUGGGGAAUAUUGCACAAUGGGCGGAAGCCUGAUGCAGCGACGCCGCGUGAGGGAUGACGGCCUUCGGGUUGUAAACCUCUUUCAGUAGGGACGAAGCGUAAGUGACGGUACCUGCAGAAGAAGCACCGGCUAACUACGUGCCAGCAGCCGCGGUAAUACGUAGGGUGCGAGCGUUGUCCGGAAUUACUGGGCGUAAAGAGCUCGUUGGCGGUUUGUCACGUCGUCUGUGAAAUCCUAGGGCUUAACCCUGGACGUGCAGGCGAUACGGGCUGACUUGAGUACUACAGGGGAGACUGGAAUUUCUGGUGUAGCGGUGGAAUGCACAGAUAUCAGGAAGAACACCGAUGGCGAAGGCAGGUCUCUGGGUAGUAACUGACGCUGAGGAGCGAAAGCAUGGGUAGCGAACAGG